GUAAAGCGCGCGCAGGCGGUUUCUUAAGUCUGAUGUGAAAGCCCCCGGCUCAACCGGGGAGGGUCAUUGGAAACUGGGGAACUUGAGUGCAGAAGAGGAGAGUGGAAUUCCACGUGUAGCGGUGAAAUGCGUAGAGAUGUGGAGGAACACCAGUGGCGAAGGCGACUCUCUGGUCUGUAACUGACGCUGAGGCGCGAAAGCGUGGGGAGCGAACAGGAUUAGAUACCCUGGUAGUCCACGCCGUAAACGAUGAGUGCUAAGUGUUAGAGGGUUUCCGCCCUUUAGUGCUGCAGCAAACGCAUUAAGCACUCCGCCUGGGGAGUACGGUCGCAAGACUGAAACUCAAAGGAAUUGACGGGGGCCCGCACAAGCGGUGGAGCAUGUGGUUUAAUUCGAAGCAACGCGAAGAACCUUACCAGGUCUUGACAUCCUCUGACAACCCUAGAGAUAGGGCUUCCCCUUCGGGGGCAGAGUGACAGGUGGUGCAUGGUUGUCGUCAGCUCGUGUCGUGAGAUGUUGGGUUAAGUCCCGCAACGAGCGCAACCCUUGAUCUUAGUUGCCAGCAUUCAGUUGGGCACUCUAAGGUGACUGCCGGUGACAAACCGGAGGAAGGUGGGGAUGACGUCAAAUCAUCAUGCCCCUUAUGACCUGGGCUACACACGUGCUACAAUGGGCAGAACAAAGGGCAGCGAAGCCGCGAGGCUAAGCCAAUCCCACAAAUCUGUUCUCAGUUCGGAUCGCAGUCUGCAACUCGACUGCGUGAAGCUGGAAUCGCUAGUAAUCGCGGAUCAGCAU
RNAcentral lists this ribosomal RNA (795 nucleotides) under Bacillus sp. (in: firmicutes). RNAcentral describes it as "bacterial SSU rRNA". It matches the Rfam family "Bacterial small subunit ribosomal RNA", at positions 560 to 1355 of the family's 1533-position model. Lineage: Bacteria; Bacillati; Bacillota; Bacilli; Caryophanales; Bacillaceae. The record is from RNAcentral.